CGGGAUCGCGGCAAGGGGAUCGCUUAGCUAGCUAGCGAUGAGCGGUUCCUUGCCUAGGUGGUUUACUCAUUCUUUUUGUAGUUGAGAGAGUGAGAGAUUUUGUAUCCAUGUAUAGAGACCACCUGUGUAUCUACUUUUAGCACUUGUAUUUGGGAUUUCCUUUGUAUCACUUUAUGUUUUAUUUAGUGGAUUUACAGUUUUAUCCUUAUCCUUUGUUGUAGCAUUUAGACAUUUAUUAUGCUCUGAUACUCCUAGAUGUCUUCUAUUAUUGCUUUUAUUAUCGUUAUUUGUAGACGCCUUAUAUGUUUUAGACGUAUGGCGGGUCUGGGCACGCACCGGGCGGGCUUCCGCUGGGUCUCGGGGCGUGACAGUAGGCCUACCACCAACCCGUCUCGAUACUACGCAGCGUCUCUCAUUCAUAACGCAUACCCAACCAUUACUUAGUGAAAGUCCUCAUUUGAGGCUUCGCACACACUCCCACCAGGAGACCUCAACCACUCCAUAUCCUUGGGUCAUAAUCACGCUUACGACUCAUUAUAACAAGCCAUGUUCACCUUUAUCGGCUCUUAAACAUCUAAGCCCUCUCAAUUUCUAUAUUUAUAAACAGCCCUUACUGGGCAAUUCCCGCAGUCGGGGACCGGUCUCUCCCCGCAGGGACCUGUCUCUCUCUCCAAUGCAACCGGUCUCUCGCCAAAGGACCGGUCUCACGGGGACCGGUCUCUCCUUCAGGAACCGGUUCCCGAGAGCUCAAUUUCCAAGACUUAGCCGAUUUUUCUCCUCUGUUCGGCUGCUGCGCGCACGGGGACCGGUCUCUCCCCGCAGGGACCGGUCCCCGAGAGCUCAAAUUCUGGAACUUCACCAGAAUUGCAGUUUCGCUCUCUCGGGUCCCCAUACACCAUAAGUAUAGGCUCCAAUGCACUCUUAGCCUACACCAACUCAUUCCAUUCCGCGUUCCGCUCGUUUCGACGGAACUCGGCACGACAUACAGGAAUGUGAUACGCUACAUUUGCACCUUGUACUUGAUCUCUUAUGCUUACGAUACACCAGCAUGAAUUUUCCUCAGCAUUGUUGAGGUACCACUCGGCCACUCGCCAAAACUCGGCGAUUGCUCAACUAGCUCCACCACAACGGGGACGUUACAACCACCACUCGAGCCCUGGGAACAUCACCCGAACUCUUGAACCACAGGGUCAUCCUCAAGCAUCCCAACUUAACUCUCACAAUUUCGCUACUCAUAUUGCCUAGAGCGUUAGUCCAUCAACUCCACCUCUAUCCCGAGCUUAACUCUCGGCUCGCAACCAGUCACCUGCCGGUCUAGUCCAAUCACAGCUACCCACUUAGUAGGUAAUAUCACUGUUACGCAUGCAUACCAGGGGAUUAAUUUUAUUCACAUCUCGGUCUCAAUUAUACUUAUGCAUGCAACAUUUCGAAUCCGCCUUAAAUCAGAUCAUACAAUCUCUUCCAACGCACCACUCCUGCUACAACACCCUCAGUAGCAGUGGAUUCCACAACUAGGGUCGCUUGCUCAUAGCCACUUGACGCUCAUCGCGAACCCUCCGAUCGCACCAUCGACCAUACUUGCUCUCUAGACCAUGCCGCAGGCGACACACUCUCCGACGGUCUCAAAAGAUAGAGAUCGUCGCCCGCGCUAAGGUCCGGCUAUCCACUAGCAACACUCAAUCCACAUUCGGGUUGGUUGCUAACAUCAAACACACCAUCUACCUCACAACGCACACCCCUGCGUCUCGUAGGUACCAUCACCGCCAACGCCUCUCAACAAGGUCAACAAUAGGCCUCGGGGAUCAUAUCCACAACCUUCUCGGGGUCGCCGAAAAUUUGAUCGACCACCCGACCCACUCAUUUAUCGGGUCACUUCUCACUUCGCAUCCAACCGGCACGAAUCCUCCAAAGAGAACUUCCACGGAGUCAUUCCAUACAUGUCCGUCCCACGGAUAUUACUCCAUCAAAAUAAGUGGAUCAACUUCCUUAGGAAACCAUCCACAAUUCUCAUGAGCCUUCAAUCCCUCUAUUCCUUGUGCAUUGCAGCCUCCUGCUGACAUUGCACCACAUUGGCUCCAAGUCUCCAAUAUGCCCGGCUAACUCUUGCACAUCACUAGUCCCGGUCCAUAUCGAUCUCCUUAAAGAUCGGCCACGCGUAACCACUGAACGCACAACAACUCAACCCUCAAGGUCAAGCGCGCGACACCUACACGCAACGCUAUCCACCACUCAAUCCAGGCGAAAGUCACGCAAGGGAGCCUUUUUUCAUCACUCGGUUUCAUGUUGUGUGCACCCAACAUGAACACUCCAUAAUGAAAAUACACUACACCUUGGAUCCACCUCUAACAUCCGUUAUAGAGGCAUACCAAACACGACCCAAUUAGUUAACCUUUCGCCACAAUUUCAAAUUCUCGUUACACUUCAAGAACCUAAAGCCUUAUGGUUUCCAACCUAUGGUCCCUAAGUCCAUCCUAAACUUUUGCUUUCACUUGCUCUGAUACCACUAUAUCUUAUAAGAUAUGGAUCCCGAGGAUCUAAAAGGUAAAAGACACCUAGAGGGGGGUGAAUAGGUGUAAACAGUAAAAAUCAAGAAACUCGAUGCAAAUUUAAAAUAGAAUGCGGAAAAUAAAAAUCAGCACACCGAGAAUUAAUGUGGGAAAACUCCAAACCAGAGAGAAAAACCCACGGGAUCGAUCACACAAAGAAAUCCACUAAGAAAACAUGAGUACAAGUGAUUUAUCAAAAAUACAAGACUCAAAAUACCGAAUCCUCGUUGUAGAUUAUCUUUGCCAAUCCUCGAUCGCUUGAAAUCCUCCAACCGAUCGCACUGCAAGUCCUUGCAGCCGCACACGCCUCGACUCCACGAAACGCUCACCGAAUCCACGGUCUUCACGCGAGAUCCACGCGCUAAUGCUCCAUUCGAAGCUCGUAGGGAUUUAACAAUUUACGGUGAUUUAAACUCUUUGAAAGCACAUAUAAUAUGAGGAGAAAUCCAAAUCAAAACAUCACCAAUUUGAUCCUUAAAGAAAAUUUGAAUCAAAAACGAAGAAUCAAAUCGGUGAUCUAAAGCUUGAUAUUUAGAAACAUGGAUCAAAACUCCGAAUCAAGUCGUUAGGGUUUCUAAAAAGGUUAUCUUGCUCAGCUAACGUCAUAUGGAGAUCCUCAUAUCAUAUUUAUAUGUUUAGAAGACUUCUAGAUAGACUAGGAUUCCAAAAACUCAAUUUUAAAAACAGACGACGGUCUCAGGGUCCGGUCCUCCCGAGGAGACCGGUCCUUGGGAGACCGGUCCUCCAAGGUGAGGUCCGGUCUUUCUCUGCGUAGACGUAAACAUUUGCGUACGGGGACCGGUCCUCAAUUCAGAGACCGGUCCUUCCCUGCGCAACAAGGAAAACCACGUACGGGAACCGGUCCUCAAGAUCAGAGACCGGUCUCCCAAACCUUCUACGCAGAGAAGCUUGAUGGGUCCGGUCCUUCUGAUCAAGGACCGGUCCCCGACCCCUGAGUUUUUCAGAAAACUUAAGUUUGAAUAAAUCAAAAGAACACCAAGUCUUCUAAACAUCUUUAAACAAUAAAAACUUCACCACAAAUUAUUCAUAAUCAUACCUGAGAUCUCAAGGGUCUUUGAUCACGAAAACUUCAAUUCUUUUCUUCAACCUUCAUCUUCUAAUUCUUCGAGACUCCGUCCAAACCUUCACGAAAUUCGCCAACUUAUAAAAUCCUUAACAAUCUCCCCCUUUGGCGAUUUCGUGACAAAAUAAAAAAAAUUUUACAAUGCUUAUUCAAAAACUAAAAUAAGAAGGUUAUUGCAAUCACCAUACAACAACCUUCUGCAUGAUCGAUCGAAAAAAAAACAAAAUUACAUUUUUCACAUCCUAAUACAAACUCUAUGACUUAGGACACGACAUAGAGUCUCGAAGUCUUGAAAUACCCUGCAAAACAAUCUCCCCACACUUCAUCAAAAUUUGCAACGAAUUCAGUUACAAGUCAAGAGUUCAAGCAUAGUUACAUCCUAAGCAUAGUUACAUCCUAAGCAAAGAUCAAGCAUAGUUCAUUUAGCACAUAAGGCACAAAGUAAAGCACGCACAAAGUAAAGCACAUAAAGCAAAAUUACUCAGCAUCAUUAUCAUCAUUCUCCCCCUUUUUGUCAAGAAAACGCCAAAACGACCAAAAGGAGGGAACGACAUCAUCAUCAGUCGGAAUCAGCACCAGGCGCAGGAAGAUCCGCGCUACAACACCCUAGUUUGUCAAAGAUAGCUCUCAUCAGACGACGAAGCUUGCUCACUUGCCGAGUAAGGCGCUCCUGCUCCGCAACCAUGCGAGCCUGAUCCUCAGAAAUCCGUCGAAGUUCGCCCGAAAUCCGUUCUUGCUCUAGAGAUAACCUUUGUUGUUCCCGAUAAACAGAAGAGACGGACAUUUCUUCCUCAGACACCUCUGCCGAAGGACGAGAAGGACCAGGAGGUGGAGUGGAACGCUGUUGAGACGAACGUCGUGGAGGAGAGCGCUGUGACUGAAGCUGCACCGAAGACUUGAUGAAAGUAGUUUCACUAAUCACACCCAAACUAUGUUCAUAAGAUGAACAUCUCGUGUCAACAUCAAACAUCCUCAGAAUUCGCAUUAUGAUUAACGGAUAAGGCAACCUCUCUAACUGACUAGAAGUCUUGAUGUCUUUAGCCAUACGGCGCCAAACCAAAAAUGGAACAUUAAGAUUGAUCUUCCUAUCACGAACCACAGUCGGCUGACCCACCAAAUAUAUAUAAAGCAUGCGAUCCCAACGCACCACCUUCGUGUUAGCCAACGGCAUUAUAUUGUAGCAAACCACAAAAUUCAGAAAACGAUAUUCUAUCUUUAAUUCCUUUGACAUCACACAAAUGCCAUUUGGUUCAACGUUGGGCAAACAUACUCCAUUCAUAACCAGACGCCAAUCUCGAACCGCAUCAAAACCAGCAUGCAAAUAUCCAAUUCCAUCAGUCCGAGCCUGCAUACCAAGAACAGAAGCAAUAGUUUCAGGCGUAAUUGUCAACUCGAUGCCACGCACAGAGGUCUUAAAGAUGAACGGUCCACCAUCGGAAUCCUCCAGAUAUCCCGCUCUCAUAUAGAAUUCCCGAAUUAAUUCCAAACAAUAGCCAGUUUGUUCAGAAAAGUCGCUAAUUUCGAAGAGACCCCCGUUCUCAAAUAAGGCUUGAAGACCAGGAACUCGGUCAAUUAAGUUCUGAACUCCAACGUGGCGCUCACCAAUACAAUUCUUAGAAGAGUACAUAGAGCGUCUCUUCGGAUCAACGUGGCCUUCCUGAGUACUGCGACGAGGUAAAUCAGCGGUAGAUUCACGAAUUUCAAUACCUCCGGUCUUCUUCUUACUACGAGAGUAUGUCAAUUUUUCCGUCCCUUUCCCUUUGACUUUGCUCUGUCCUUUUUCCUUUUCUGUAACUACCUUUUCCAUCCCUUUCUUCUUCGUCGACAACACUUCUGGAGAGAGUGCUUCCCAAUCCGUCGACUCAAUUUCCGAUUCUUCAUCAGGAGCAUAUUCACUGCCGACAUCCUCAACUGGUGGCUCGACAGGUUGCUGAGUCGAAGUUCGCUGGCGCUUACCACCACGACCACCACCAGCCAUGAGGAACACAAGUGCAAGCAAAAAGGAAUACAUUUUUGUUUUCGAAAAAGAUCCCUGUUUCAACAAGUGAAAAUAAAACACAGAUAUCAUUCAGAUUUUCUUUUUAAAAAAAACUGAUGAAAUCUAGGGCCACAUGGAAAAGGCAAAAUGAUGCAUCAAUAGAAUGAAGAAAUGCAUGAGGAGAUCGAGAAUCACAAGCAUAUUACUGAGACCAAUGAUUAGAAACAAGAUACCUAACAAAAUCACAGAUCAACCCCAACCAAAACACAUUCUAGAAAUGCAUAUGCAAAAAAUAAAGUCCAAAAAGAAAACGUACCAAUCAAAUGAAAGAAAAUCGGGAAGAAACAGAGCAAACACUCUCUGGAACCCUAAACCGGUCGUGGGAAGAGUUUCAGACAAAAAGGUAAAGUAAGAGAGAGACCGGACCAACAUUCGUAUAUAGGCUCGGGCAGAGGGACCGGUCCUUCAAGACAGGAGACCGGUCCCCGUACCAAAAAAAAAUUCCCCCUUUUUUUUAAAAAAAAAUGACGUUCCAAUGACAUAUAAUAUAAAUUUUAUAAAUAUGGCAAACAAAGUCAAUUUCAAAAAUAUUCAAAGUGUCAAGAUUUGUUGAACAAAUAGACGAAUUAAAUUCUAAUGGGUAUAAUGCUAAAAUCCACACAUCAAUUAAGAUCUAAAAAUUAAUCGUCUCGUAUUGUCUUCAUAAUUAAUAAAUAGAGGAAUAAAAAGAUCCCAUAAUCAUGAAAUUAAGAUAAGAUGAUCAAAUUGAGUUAUGCACAAAAUUCGACGAGGGAGUGGCUCUUUGAGCAUCUUUUCACUAUCCACCUUAUAUCACCUAGAAGAUGUAUUGUAAGUAACUCAUGUUUUAUCAUCUCCAAAGCACCUCUUUUAAAACCCCCUUUUUUUUAUAUCAUAGGACAUCCUCAGAUAAAUUAGGCUUCCUUAGCAACAGAGAUGCCUUAAACAGACAUGCGGUAGCUGCACACAUUUACCGGACGACCGGAGUGGUAGCUCUUUCCUCCAUGUGGUGGUAGUUUUCACACUCCCAUGAGGGAUGUAACUCUUUCCACAUCUUUUGACAUUCUAAUUUAAUUCCAGGAAAGACUCCCCCUAAAUAAGUGCAACCCUCAAGUUGACGAUAUUAUCACAAGUUCAAAAUUAGGGAAAUCUGUAUUCAUAUCAAAGCUCAUAAUCCAACAAGACAAAGAUAAUGUUUAAAGUUCAAAAGAAAUGAGGUGUUGAAUUUAGCAAAUUAUACUAAAAUAGAAUUUGAAUGAAUCUAUCUUUUCAAUAAAAAUAUGACACAGAGAAUAAAAUGACAUUGACCAAGCUAACCACAUUAUAAUAUAAAGAAAAUCAUGUCAUGGAUAUCUCAAAAAUGAUCAAGUAAAAACGACAGAUAUGCAAAAGAGUUUAUGCAAGAUCUAUGGUCCAUAGACUACAUCUAAACAGAUGGAUUCAUACCAAUAGCCUUUCGCAAAUGAAGAAAACGUUUUUGAUCUAAAGGUUUUGUCAAAAUAUCAGCAAGCUGAUUUUCAAUAGAAAUGUAUUCAAGAUGAAGAAGAUUUGAUUCGACCAAUUCCCUUAAAAAAUGAUAUCUGAGUUCAAUGUGUUUUGUACGAGAAUGUAAAACAGGGUUUUUAGAAAUAUUAAUUGCACUUGUGUUAUCACAAAGAAUAGUAAGAGUGGAGGAAGGGAUCCGAUAAUCGCUCAGUAAGCUCUUCAUCCAUAACAACUGAGUAGAGCAACUACCAGCAGAGAUAUACUCAGCCUCGGCAGUGGAUAGUGCAAUACAGUUCUGUUUCUUGCUGUGCCAAGCGACAAGACAAUGUCCAAGGUAGAAACACGCUCCACUUGUACUUUUCCGAUCGUCUGCAGAGCCAGCCCAGUCUGCAUCUGAGUAUCCAAUCAGAUCAAGAGAUGUUCCCAUAGGAUACCAGAGACCAUAUGCGGUUGUACCUUUAACGUAUCAAAUAAUCCUUUUGACCGCUUUUAGAUGAAUUUCCUUAGGAUUAGCUUGAUAGCGAGCACAAAUUCCAACACUGAAUGCAAUAUCUGGUCUACUCGCAGUCAAGUACAAUAGGCUCCCAAUCAUGCUUCUGUAUAGUUUCUCAUCUACGCUCGGUCCUUCCGAAUUCAAUCCGAGUCCUUUGUUACUUGUACCCAUUGGAGUGUCAAAAUCCUUUGCGUUGUCCAAUCCAAAUUUCUUAACCAAAUCUUUCGCAUAUUUGGAUUGACACAAGUGUAUUCCAUCUUUAGUUUGUUUGACUUGAAGUCCAAGAAAAUAGUUAAGCUCCCCCAUCAUCGACAUCUCAAAUUCGCUCGUCAUCAACUUUGCAAACUCAUUAGCAUCCUUAUCUUUAGUAGCUCCAAAGACGAUGUCGUCAGCAUAAAUUUGUGCCACAAUGAAAUUAUCUUUCGAGUGUUUUACAAAAAGAGUUCUAUCUGCUCCUCCUCGGUUGUAGCCCUUUUCCAAAAGAUAUUUUGUCAAACGCUCGUACCAUGCCCGCGGAGCCUGUUAAAGUCCAUAAAGUGCCUUUUUCAGUCGAAAAACGUGAUUUGGAAAUUUCGAGUCUAUGAAACCUUUCGGUUGUUCAACAUAAACUUCCUCUUUUAAAAAGCCGUUUAGAAAAGCACUUUUAAUAUCCAUUUGAAAAAGAGUAAUUUUAAAAUGACAGGCGAUCGCGAACAAAAUACGGAUUGAUUCAAGACGAGCAACCGGGGCGAAGGUUUCCUCAAAAUCUAUUCCCUCAACUUGUGAGUAACCUUGAGCAACCAGUCUUGCUUUGUUUCGAACAAUAGUACCAUCCUCAUUUUUCUUAUUCUUAAAAAUCCAUUUGGUACCAAUUAUGUGUUGUUGCUCAGGACGCGACACCAGUUCCCAAACAUCAUUACGCGUGAAUUGACCAAGUUCUUCUUGCAUAGCAUUAAUCCAGUAUUCAUCGAGAAGAGCUUCAUCAACAUUCUUUGGCUCAACUAAAGACACGUAGCAAGCAAAUUCACACUGAAGCUGUCUCCUAGUUUUCACACCAGUAAGAGGGUCUCUAAUAACAUUUGACAAUGGGUGAUCUUUUACAGGUGUAAGUUCAGAUGAGGUGAUAGGGGUUUCAGAAGAAUCAUGUGAUGCAAUAGCAUCAAUAGGUUCAGCAGUAUUAUCAGGCACAGAAUUUUCAUCAAUCACAGGUAAGUUAAAUGGAGAGUCAUUAUCAUCAUCAUUCAGACAUGCAUUGGAAGAAUCAUUCACAGAAGAUCCUACAGAAGAAGCUUCAUCUACUUUGAUAUUAAUGGAUUCUAUCACCGUCUUAGUACGUAAAUUGUACGCACGAUAAGCACGACUAGAGGUAGAAUAUCCAAGAAAAAUUCCUUCGUCACUUCGGGAGUCAAAUUUUCCAAGAUUUUCACGAUCCCGCAGGAUAAAACAUUUACUCCCGAAGACACGAAAGUAUUUGAUGUUCGGUUUUCUACCCAUCCACAACUCGUACGGAGUGUUUAAAGUGCCCGGGCGUAAAUAAAUGCGAUUAAUCACAUAGACGGCCGUGUUAACUGCUUCAGCCCAGAAGUGUAGUGCAACUUUCUUGCUAUGAAGCAUAACACGUGCCAUCUCUUGAACCACCCGGUUUUUACGUUCAACCACUCCGUUCUGCUGUGGUGUAUAAGGAGCAGAGAAUUCAUGUUUGAUGCCUUUUGAAACACUGAAAUCAACAAAUUUUGAAUUAAUGAAUUCUCCCCCUUGAUCACUUCGAAUGCGCGCAAUUUUGUCAUCCCUUUCAUUCAUAAGACGAAGACAGAUUUCAGAAAAAGAAUCAAACGUAUCAGCUUUUUCACGUAAGAAGGCACUCCACACAAAACGAGUAAAAUCAUCAACAAUAAGCAAAAUAUAUCGUUUUCCACCCAAACUUUGAAUUCUAGAGGGUCCCAUCAAGUCCAUGUGGAGUAGCUCUAAUGGUUUGGAUGUCCCUAAGUGGUUCAACUUCUUAUGUGUGGACCUAGUUUGCUUUCCCAAUUGACAACCCCCACAAACAGUGUUUUCCUUGAAGUCUAUCUUAGGUACACCUCUAACUGCCUCCUUCUUGGUUAUCUUAGAUAGUUCCUUAAAGUUUAUGUAACCUAGACGUUCAUGCCAUAAAGUUUCAGUUUCUAAUGUCGCUAGGUUACAAUGUUCAGUCAAAGAACUAGGAACUACAUAACAAUUAUUCUCAGAUCUAACACCCUUUAAGAAAAGAUUGUCAUUACGAGUCACAUGGCAUUCUCUAUCGGAAAAAUUCACAGAAUACCCAUCAUCACACAAUUGGCUUAUGCUUACGAGAUUUGAUUUGAGCCCCUCAGCAUAAAAGACAUCAUUUAAUGCAGGGCCAUCAGAGAUAGUGACAGUUCCUUUUCCAACAAUUUUUGAUGACCGACCAUCUCCAAAAAUAACCAGUCCACCGGAAAUUUUGUUUAAAGAAGUAAACCAAUUUUUAUUACCGGUCAUAUGACGUGAACAGCCACUAUCCAGAUACCAAGAAGUAUUGUCGUAAGCAUGAAGCGAAGUGUGAAUGACAAGGCAAGGAAAGAGUUCACCUUUGCGCACCCAAACCUUACGUGUUUUGGGUUGCGUUGUCCGACUUGAUUGAGAUACGCUUUGCUUGUCGACGAUUUGUGUAGUUCUUUUCUUCGGAUCAUUCUUCUUAGGCAUCCACGUCUGUCUUGCCUUUGUCUUUGGUUCUUCCUUCUUCAGUUGUUCCUUUGGUCUCCUAUCAUGUGUGUUGUAGCAUUUUUCGGCCUUUGCUAGCAAAAUCUCUUCACAUGACCUACAACACCACAAAGAUGACAAGUUUUGUUAGCAAUCAAAUUCUUGGGAGGAACAAACUUACCAUAUACCUUCGAAACCGGUUUUGUCGAAUGUUCGUCUACUUUCUUCAUCACUUGAUCGACAUAUGUCCGUUCGUAUCCAAGUCCGAAUUUGUUGGUUUGACCGAGUCCUAACAUUUUGUCAAGUUUGCUUGACCCGGACGAGAACUUGUUUAAGUCCGAUUUGAGUUGUAUGAUAGUCUUGGUAAAUUCCAUGUUGGAUUCUCUUGCUUCCGUGUAUUUCUUGUUAAGAAAAUUAAUGUUUUCAACCAAAGUUUCCUUUUCCUUCUCAAGCAGUACACACUUGUCGAAUAAAGUAUUAUAUGACUCGGUCAAAGUGUCCUUUUCUUGCUCCAAACUUUUUGUCAAUGACUCUAAUCUUGUAUUGUCUUGGUCUAGAUCAUACAAUCUUCGUCUCAACUUCUUGUUGUGUUUCGCCACUUUCUUUGAUUCAAUAACAAGUUGAUGAUAUGUGGCGGCCAUAUCUUCUUCUUCCGAUUAUUCAUCCAUCGAGUUCUCCGUAGAAGAUUUUUCAUGCAAAGAAGACAUAGAGAUUGAGUCAGUCGAUGCUAAACACAUAAAAGGAGAAUCCUGUGCAAUAAGUGCAGUGGCAUUAACGUCAUCAUCACUUGAGGACGAUUCGUCGGAGGAGGACUCAUCCCAAGUAAUGGCUUGCAUCGCUUUCUUUUUCAAAGACUUUUUGUUAGGACAAUCUGAUGCAAUAUGACCAAAUCCCCUACACUUAUAGCAUUGGAUUUGACCUUCGCUACUUUUCUUUUCUUUUGUAAAUUCUUUUUGAAAAUUUUCUGAUUUUUUAAACUUUGAAGAAGAGGAAGAAGACUCUCUUUUGAUUUGUUUGGCUUGGAGGAAGUUGUCUUCGAAGUAAACUUCUUUCUAAAAUUCCGACGGAAUUUCUUAGUCAAGAGUGCCAUUUGUUUCUCAAACUCUUCCAAGGUUACGUCAGAGUCCGAGUCCGAGUCCGAUGAAGAAGAUUCCACAUUGCCUCCUUUCGUUGAUUUUAACGCCAUACCUGAAGCUUUAGAAGACAAUUUGGAAGAAGAUGAAUUAGCAGGAAAAGUCAUUUCAUAAGUUUGAAGUGCACCAACUAAUUCAUCUACUUUGAGUUCAUCCGGAUGUUUUACCGUUUCUAUGGCCGCAACCUUGGGACGAAAACGUUCGGGAAGGGUUCUCAAAAUCUUUCGAACAAUCUUUGGUUCAGAAACUUUUUCACCCAAAUUUGCACAAGUAUUAACAAUAUCUUGAAGACGAGUAUAAUACUCAGUAAAGGUUUCAUUUUCUUCCAUACGAAUAGAAUCAAAACGACUAGUCAACAUUUGUAGUUUUUGAACCUUUACCAAGCUUGUACCCUCAUGAGUGAUUUGUAAAGUAUCCCAAAUUUCUUUGGCGGUUUCACACGCCGAUACUCGAGAAAAUUCAGUUUGAUUCAAAGCAUUGAACAAAGCAUUGAUACCCUUCCCAUUGAACGAAGAUAGUUCGUUUUCCUCUUUUGUCCACUUAUUUCUAGGUUUAGGACCGGUAACAUUCUCGACUACUUCAGUAGGAUGUUUCCACCCGAAUUCAACGGCUUGCCAAACCCGCUCGUCAAUGGCAAUAAGGAACGCCCUCAUACGGACUUUCCAAUAAGCAUAGUUAGUGCCAUCGAAGAGAGGGGGUCGAUUAACGUUACCACCCUCGGCCAUAAUUUACAACCUAUACCCGCUCUGAUACCACCUAUAAGAUAUGGAUCCCGAGGAUCUAAAAGGUAAAAGACACCUAGAGGGGGGUGAAUAGGUGUAAACAGUAAAAAUCAAGAAACUCGAUGCAAAUUUAAAAUAGAAUGUAGAAAAUAAAAAUAAGCACACCGAGAAUUAACGUGGGAAAACUCCAAACCGGAGAGAAAAACCCACGGGACCGAUCACACAAAGAAAUCCACUAAGAAAACAUGAGUACAAGUGAUUUAUCAAAAAUACAAGACUCAAAAUACCGAAUCCUCGUUGUAGAUUAUCUUUGCCAGUCCUCGAUCGCUUGGAAUCCUCCAACCGAUCACACUGCAAGUCCUUGCAGCCGCACACGCCUCGACUCCACGAAACGCUCACCGAAUCCACGGUCUUCACGCGAGAUCCACGCGCUAAUGCUCCAUCCGAAGCUCGUAGGGAUUUAACAAUUUGCGGUGAUUUAAACUCUUUGAAAGCACAUAUAAUAUGAGGAGAAAUCCAAAUCAAAACAUCACCAAUUUGAUCCUUAAAGAAAAUUUGAAUCAAAAAUGAAGAAUCAAAUCAGUGAUCUAAAGCUUGAUAUUUAGAAACAUGGAUCAAAACUCCGAAUCAAGUCGUUAGGGUUUCUAAAAAGGUUAUCUUGCUCAGCUAACGUCAUAUGGAGAUCCUCAUAUCAUAUUUAUAUGUUUAGAAGACUUCUAGAUAGACUAGGAUUCCAAAAACUCAAUUUUAAAAACAGACGACGGUCUCAGGGUCCGGUCCUCCCGAGGAGACCGGUCCUUGGGAGACCGGUCCUCCAAGGUGAGGUCCGGUCUUUCGCUGCGUAGACGUAAACAUAUGCGUACGGGGACCGGUCCUCAAUUCAGAGACCGGUCCUUCCCUGCGCAACAAGGAAAACCAUGUACGGGAAUCGGUCCUCAAGAUCAGAGACCGGUUUCCCAAACCUUCUACGCAGAGAAGCUUGAUGGGUCCGGUCCUUCUGAUCAAGGACCGGUCCCCGACCCCUGAGUUUUUCAGAAAACUUAAGUUUGAAUAAAUCAAAAGAACACCAAGUCUUCUAAACAUCUUUAAACAAUAAAAACUUCACCACAAAUUAUUCAUAAUCAUACCUGAGAUCUCAAGGGUCUUUGAUCACGAAAACUUCAAUUCUUUUCUUCAACCUUCAUCUUCUAAUUCUUCGAGACUCCGUCCAAACCUUCACGAAAUUCGCCAACUUAUAAAAUCCUUAACAUAUCUGUCACGCCCCGGGACCGCCAAUUUGGUCGGUUCGGGCACGUCAACAGAUGCCGAACGGACAGCACCUCCCCUGUCCGCCCAAGGCUCCACCAAUACAUGUAUAACAAUAGCAAUUCAAACAUAAUGAAUGCAAGUAUACACGACUUGCACG
This 13540-nucleotide long non-coding RNA is filed under the name Ananas comosus (pineapple). RNAcentral describes it as "long non-coding RNA (ACOM_LNC035944)". Lineage: Eukaryota; Viridiplantae; Streptophyta; Magnoliopsida; Poales; Bromeliaceae. The record is from RNAcentral.